GAUUGAAUAAAUCUCGAUAGACAAAGAGAUAUAUCGCGAACUUGUAGACCCUCCUUUUCAGCGAAAAAUAAAAUGAACGUGAAAUCUCCGUCAAGCAAACCGAAAAAUCUAGAGAUUCGAAGAUGUUGCUCGAAGAAUUUCAAAUGUCGGAGCGAGAACAGCAAGUAGCAAUCAUCGUGGGUUAGGGUUCGUAGAGUUGAAAGGGAGAGAGAGAAUGGGGGGUUUCAGAUGGCUAAGCAAUUGGU
This 245-nucleotide unclassified non-coding RNA is filed under the name Hevea brasiliensis (rubber tree). Lineage: Eukaryota; Viridiplantae; Streptophyta; Magnoliopsida; Malpighiales; Euphorbiaceae. The record is from RNAcentral.